GACGAACGAUGGCGGCGUGCCUAAUACAUGCAAGUAGAACGCACAGUUUAUACCGUAGCUUGCUACACCAUAGACUGUGAGUUGCGAACGGGUGAGUAACGCGUAGGUAACCUGCCUGGUAGCGGGGGAUAACUAUUGGAAACGAUAGCUAAUACCGCAUAAUAUUAAUUAUUGCAUGAUAAUUAAUUGAAAGGUGCAAUUGCACCACUACCAGAUGGACCUGCGUUGUAUUAGCUAGUAGGUGAGGUAACGGCUCACCUAGGCGACGAUACAUAGCCGACCUGAGAGGGUGAUCGGCCACACUGGGACUGAGACACGGCCCAGACUCCUACGGGAGGCAGCAGUAGGGAAUCUUCGGCAAUGGACGAAAGUCUGACCGAGCAACGCCGCGGGAGUGAAGAAGGUUUUCGGAUCGUAAAGCUCUGUUGUAAGAGAAGAACGGGUGUGAGAGUGGAAAGUUCACACUGUGACGGUAUCUUACCAGAAAGGGACGGCUAACUACGUG
Molecule: ribosomal RNA, 505 nt
Filed under: uncultured bacterium
Lineage: Bacteria
Description: partial 16S ribosomal RNA
Rfam family: Bacterial small subunit ribosomal RNA
Source: RNAcentral